Molecule: transfer RNA, 75 nt
Filed under: Sesamum indicum (sesame)
Lineage: Eukaryota; Viridiplantae; Streptophyta; Magnoliopsida; Lamiales; Pedaliaceae
Also listed under: 3 other names
Rfam family: tRNA
About the family: Transfer RNA (tRNA) molecules are approximately 80 nucleotides in length.
Source: Rfam by way of RNAcentral
CGAGGUGUAGCGCAGUCUGGUCAGCGCAUCUGUUUUGGGUACAGAGGGCCAUAGGUUUGAAUCCUGUCACCUUGA